AUACGUAGGGGGCAAGCGUUAUCCGGAUUUACUGGGUGUAAAGGGAGCGUAGACGGCACUGCAAGUCUGGAGUGAAAGUCCUGCUUUCAAGGUGGGAAUUGCUUUGGAAACUGGCGGGCUGGAGUGCAGGAGAGGUUAGUGGAAUUCCCGGUGUAGCGGUGAAAUGCGUAGAGAUCGGGAGGAACACCAGUGGCGAAGGCGACUAACUGGACUGUAACUGACGCUGAAGCGCGAAAGCCAGGGGAGC
RNAcentral lists this ribosomal RNA (247 nucleotides) under uncultured bacterium. Its description in RNAcentral is "partial 16S ribosomal RNA". It matches the Rfam family "Bacterial small subunit ribosomal RNA", at positions 523 to 769 of the family's 1533-position model. The record is from RNAcentral.